RNAcentral lists this ribosomal RNA (253 nucleotides) under uncultured bacterium. RNAcentral's name for it is "partial 16S ribosomal RNA". It matches the Rfam family "Bacterial small subunit ribosomal RNA", at positions 524 to 776 of the family's 1533-position model. The record is from RNAcentral.
UACGGAGGGGGUUAGCGUUGUUCGGAAUCACUGGGCGUAAAGGGAGCGUAGGCUGUACGGUAAGUCAGAUGUGAAAUCCCGGGGCUCAACCCCGGAACUGCAUCCGAUACUGCCGUACUAGAGGAUUGGAGAGGUAGCUGGAAUUCACGGUGUAGCAGUGAAAUGCGUAGAUAUCGUGAGGAACACCAAUGGCGAAAGCAAGCUACUGGACAACUCCUGACGCUGAGGCUCGAAGGCCAGGGUAGCGAACAGG